Molecule: long non-coding RNA, 459 nt
Organism: Haliotis rubra (blacklip abalone)
Lineage: Eukaryota; Metazoa; Mollusca; Gastropoda; Lepetellida; Haliotidae
Exons: 4
Source: RefSeq, a predicted model, not a curated record
UUAUUUGACACGCCUCCUCAGCUUUCCUAUAAGACCGACCGCUGUGCCAAUAUACGAGCACAAUAUCGGUGAGUCGUUCACACCUGGUUUACGCUCGACUAUCAACAACUGCACUAUUCAUCAUGCAUAGCCUUCUGCUCAGGCUAGCUCUGACCCUUCUGCUGGUGUGCCUCAUGGCGCAGCUCAGUCUCCAAAGCGACCCAUGUGCUGGCAAGAGAGGUAUUAAGUUACUAGGUUGCUGCAUACUGAAACCAACCUCACAGUCAUGUUCCACCAGCGAGGGAUAGGAACAAGGGUAUCACCCAAAGCCAAUCUGGUGACGAAUAACUACCCGAGAUGUAGCAUUUCAAUGACAUAUUCAUCAAGUUUUCGUUUUAAUUGUUACAGAAAAUGAAUUGAUGUUUUAAGAAAUUUGGGUAUUGCUUCCGACUAACUGUUGAAUUAAAAAAUAUAUACAGA